GGCCUUCAAAUUGAAAAUAAGCGAGUCGAUCUGCCCAGUGACUAAGAUAGUUAAACGGCCGCGGUACCCUAACCGUGCAAAGGUAGCAUAAUCAUUUGCCUUUUAAUUGGAGGCUUGUAUGAAUGGUUUGACGAGAGCUAUGCUGUCUCUAUUAAAAUAAUUAGAAAUUAACUUUUAGGUGAAGAGGCCUAAAUUAAGCUGAGGGACAAGAAGACCCUGUUGAGCUUUAGUGUGGUUAAGUGGCCCAAUUUUUCAUUCCUUAAGAAAAUGGUUUUUCUUAGUGACAAUUUAUGAGCCUAACCAGCCUAAAGUCACCGGGUCAUCUGGUCCUUCACCUAAGUUAGGCUCUCACCUAAAAGUUAUUUCUAAUAUUUUAUAGAGACAGAAAAGUUCUCGGUCAAACCAUCGAAAACCCUCAAUUAAAAGGAAAGACUAAAGAGUGGGAGUUCAAAACCUAUAUACAAACUUCCGGGAGACUGUGUGUGAAACGGGGGG
This 495-nucleotide ribosomal RNA is filed under the name Umbonium vestiarium. RNAcentral describes it as "partial 16S ribosomal RNA". The stretch from base 1 to 192 matches the Rfam family "Archaeal large subunit ribosomal RNA", at positions 1921 to 2143 of the family's 2987-position model. The record is from RNAcentral. Lineage: Eukaryota; Metazoa; Mollusca; Gastropoda; Trochida; Trochidae.